This 479-nucleotide ribosomal RNA is filed under the name uncultured organism. Its description in RNAcentral is "partial 16S ribosomal RNA". It matches the Rfam family "Bacterial small subunit ribosomal RNA", at positions 330 to 800 of the family's 1533-position model. The record is from RNAcentral.
CGUACACUCCUGCGGGAGGCAGCAGUGGGGAAUAUUGCACAAUGGGCGCAAGCCUGAUGCAGCCAUGCCGCGUGUAUGAAGAAGGCCUUCGGGUUGUAAAGUACUUUCAGCGGGGAGGAAGGCGAUAAGGUUAAUAACCUUGUUGAUUGACGUUACCCGCAGAAGAAGCACCGGCUAACUCCGUGCCAGCAGCCGCGGUAAUACGGAGGGUGCAAGCGUUAAUCGGAAUUACUGGGCGUAAAGCGCACGCAGGCGGUCUGUCAAGUCGGAUGUGAAAUCCCCGGGCUCAACCUGGGAACUGCAUUCGAAACUGGCAGGCUAGAGUCUUGUAGAGGGGGGUAGAAUUCCAGGUGUAGCGGUGAAAUGCGUAGAGAUCUGGAGGAAUACCGGUGGCGAAGGCGGCCCCCUGGACAAAGACUGACGCUCAGGUGCGAAAGCGUGGGGAGCAAACAGGAGUAGAUACCCGUGUAGUCCCAUGA